GCAUUAGCCCGUCGCUUGGAAGAAACAAACAAAUACACCAUAACUCUUGUUAACACCCCUUUAAACCUUAAGAAGCUUAAAUCAUCUCUCCCUCAAAAUUCCUCUAUUCACCUUCUUGAAAUUCCUUUCAAUAGCGUAGAGCAUGACCUCCCUCCAUGUACUGAAAACACAGACUCUAUUCCGUAUCAUCUCUUACCAAAAUUCCUUCAAGCAUCAGCAUCGCUCGAACCCCACUUCAAGAAACUAAUCUCUGAACUUGUCAAUGAGCAAAAUGGCCAAAAACCACUUUGUAUCAUCACUGAUACGUUCUUAGGUUGGUGUAAAGAGACAGCACAAGAGUAUGGUAUUUUUCAUGCUAUAUUCAUAGGAGGUGGUGGCUUUGGCUUUGCUUGUUUGUACUCGAUGUUGCUAAACCUACCUCACCGCAGCACGGAUUCUGAUGAAUUUCUGUUGCCGGAUUUUCCAGAAGCUUCAACACUUCAUGUAACACAGAUAUCUCCUUACUUACGUGCUACCGAUGGAAGUGAUUCUUUUUCAGUGUUUUAUAAGAAGUUGCUUCUUCUAUGGAAGGAUGCAGAUGGAAUUUUGGUUAACACGGUUGAGGAACUUGACAAGAUUGGACUGAUGUAUUUCAAGAGAAAAUUUGGCCGGCCGGUUUGGCCAAUAGGGCCUGUUCUUUUGUCCACGGAAAGCAGAGCUGGGGCCAGAAAAGAGUACGGAAUCUCCACAGAGUUGUGUAAAAAAUGGCUUGAUACAAAGCCGUACACUUCAGUUCUGUAUGUAUCAUUUGGUUCACAAAACACAAUAGCUGCAUCACAAAUGAUGCAAUUGGCAAUGGCUUUAGAGGCUAGUGGCAAGAAUUUCAUUUGGGUUGUCAGGCCGCCGAUUGGCUUUGACAUAAAUUCUGAGUUUAAAGCCAACAAAUGGCUGCCUCGAGGAUUUGAAGAAAGAAUCAAAUGUUCAGGACAAGGGCUAGUGGUACACAAAUGGGCACCUCAGGUGGAGAUUUUAUCUCAUAGGUCUGUAUCCGCAUUUUUGAGCCACUGCGGAUGGAACUCUGUGCUUGAAGCUUUGAGUCAUGGGGUGCCGAUAAUUGGGUGGCCAUUGGCAGCAGAGCAGUUUUAUAAUUCUAAGCUCUUAGAAGAAGAGAUGGGGGUUUGUGCGGAGAUAGCAAGAGGGAUGAGUUGUGAGGUUCUGAAAGAGGACUUAAGUGCAAAAAUUGAGUUAGUGAUGAAUGAGACUGAGAAAGGAACAGACUUGAGAAACAAAGCUAAUGAGGUCAAGGUGAUUAUUAAGAAUGCUGUGAGAAAUGAAACAAAUUUUAAGGGGUCUUCUGUGAAAGCCAUGGAUCAAUUCUUGAAUGCUGCAUUGAUAAUGAGACAGACGGAAAAGGGAGCAUCAAACAUCAAAGGAUGAGGUUUGAUUUUGCGUGGAAGUAAGUCUCCAUUGCCAUUUCUGUCAAUGAAAAAUAAUGUCAUCUUUUAACGAGACAGUUUUUGGAAAAUUCUUGAAGUAAUGUUAAGUUUUGGGAAAAUUCUUGAAGUAAUGUUAUCUUUGUAUUAACUUUCGAUCAAUAAUAUGAAAUUUAAUUUUAUAUAAAUUAAUCCCAUACCAAAGAGCCACCUCUGUUUUUUGUGACUACAUCUAUCGAGAGUUUGAGUUUAAAGCUUGUUAUUUCCGAGUGGGAUCAAGAAUUUAUAGAGCAUAAUUCCUUUUUUUUUUUUUUUUUUUUGAUAGAGCAUAAUUCCUUAGUAUUUAAUGUUUUCAAUAAAUGAAAGUAAGAUUGGGCCGGAAAAACAUCACGCACGAUCCACAUCAAGCCCAACCCAGACCAUAUCAUUUGGGCUGGUUUGAUAAGGGAAACUCAAUCUAUAAUAAAUUUCGGCAGGGAUUGGGUUGAUGAUUUUCACAAAAUAAUUUCUAAAAUGAUAAAUCGAUAAAUUACUGUUGAAAAAAUAAUAAUAAAAGGUAGAAAUCUGCAUCUCUUGAUUUAUCAAUGGCACCAUCAUCGUCAAUGACCAAGCUUCUGAUAGUGGCUAUAACGAUAUUUGUAAGUUUUGGCUAAAUGGGAUUGCCACCAUUAAAUUUUUUAGUUAUUUGUAUCUUAGAUUUUUCUAAGAUCAUAAUAUGUCAAAAUAAAUUAUUGAAUCUAAAAGGAAAAAAAAAUUGAACUAACUGUACUUUUUUUUUUAAUGGAAAUGCAUUUUGAUUAAAGUAUAGUAAAACGUUAAUAGCAAGAAUAAACAUGACUUUUCAUAUGAAAUUUUGGUUCAAUCGCAUGCUGUAAAUUUCAAAAUUUGGGACGCCAUAAAUUUCAAAGUUUGAGAAACAAAAAAGUUAUGAGAUUUUUCUAAAUAUGUGCAUUGAGAUCUCCUUCUUACCAUUCCUUAAUUACAUUUUUUUUUGUUGAAUUAUAUUGUGUUUUGUGGUCACUUAAAAUAGGAUUCAACUUUAUACCAUUGAACCAAUCAUGUUAAAAUGUUGGAUGAAAUUGAAUUAAAAUUAUUCAUAGCAUUAGAUGGAGAUUGAGAUUUUAUAAACAAAUGUUGGAUGGUGAUUGGAGAAAAGAGAUAUUGCAAAUGGCGACGCUGAUCGGAGAAAACAAAAAUACCCUAAAGUAUAUAAACGCUUGGUUUCGCAAUGAUAUAUAUUGUCUGAUUUAUUGAAAUUUGCUUUAAAGUAUACUCUAAUUUACUGGAUUGCUUGAAAAAAUAAAGUGUAAUGUUAAUCGCAUCUCGUAGAUUUGUAUGCAAAAUAAAUUUUAAUAUAAUAUUUUAAAUUAAUUAAAAUAACAGUAAUUUUCCAUUACAAUAAUAAAUCGUCUUUAAUUAUUUAUGAAGACAAAAUUUGGGCUAUUUUCAUAUUGAAAGCACAUAUACUCUUUGUCUGCAGGGGCGACCCUCCAAGACUGAGACCAUCUAAAACUUGACUCAACAACUCAGCAUCGUAUAUAUAUUCCCAAAAGAUGAAAGCUUUGGUUUCCCAACUAAGUCACCCACCUGUGCUUUUCCCCUGCGUAUUUAGGGAUGGCAAAAAUCCCUACGAAGACGGGUAUUUUCGGAGAUUUUUUCCAUUCAGAGAGAAUAUGAGGAUAAUUUCAUACCCAAUUUCUUAUUCAGGAAAGGGACAUAGAAAUUUUUUAAUUUCUUAUUCGGGGAGGGGACGGGGAUGAGGUGGAAUCCUCAUCCCCUACCCAUUUCCCCAUUUUAAUUUUUAAUUUAAUUUUUAUUUUUUAAAAUUACUAGUAAAUAAAUAAUAAAAUUUGAAUUAUAAAAUUAUAAGUAUUGGUAAAAAUAAAAAAUAUCAAAAUAUUUAUAUUAUUAAACUUUUAGGCCUAAUUAACUAAUUAAAGUCCUAAAUUUUUAUUUAAGACAUUAAAAAGACCGGACAUAUUCUAUUAGCCCAAAAUUUUUAUUUUUAUUUUAAUAUUCAUUAAAUAUUUUAAACUUAAAUCUAUUUUUUAUUUAUCUUAAAUCUAUUUUUUAUUUAUUUUUAGAUGUUAUAAUUGCCCACAACAAAUCACAAUUUUAAUAUCCAAUCUAAUUUAAUAUUUGCUCUUGAUUUGUUUCGACUUAACUAUUGUGUUGUAAAGGGAAUAGUCCACAUUUAUAAAGUGCUCACGCCACCAUUGAAAAGUUAAUUUUGAAUCUAAAUUUGAUUUUAUUUGUAACAAUUUUGUAUUAGGCUAUUAAUUUGUUCAUGAUAGUUUGUAUCCCUUGCAUGCUGCGUUACUUACUAAUUUAAUAUAUGUGACUUUUGUAAUGGAUAUUAAUGUAAGAUAUAUUUCGAAAUUUACUUUUAUUUGAAUUUUUUUAUUUUAAUAUGAUUAACUCAAAAUCGAAAACAAAAAAAAAUGUAUUAGUUAUUCAGGGAUCGGGGACCCUCGGGGAUCCCCUGUUAUUAUUCGGGGAGGGGAUGAUGAUUCUCUUAAACAAUUGUGACGGGGAUGAAGAGGGGACGGGGAUAUACGCAAAAUAUCGGGGAUGGGUACGGGGAGAUUGGUCCUCUCCCCUCCCCUCCCCAUUGCCAUCCCUAUGCGUAUUGGUGUUGGAUCAAUGUUGUAUAUGCCUUCGCUACAAAAUUAGACAAUUUUAAAAAUUUUGGUGAUUAUGAUCCUAUUUAGGACUGAAUUGUUGUAACUUUUAAAGUACAAGUUUUGUGAAAAAAAAAGAUAUAAUUAUGAAUUAAGAGUAAAUAAUAUAUAGUAAACAUAAAUUUUAAAUAAUAAUUUUACUAAAAUUAUUAAAGAUUUAUUAGACUUUUCAUCACAUAAAUAUAAAAUCAAAUCAAAUUAGCUUUUAAAAUAUAACAGUUAAUGUUUACCAAAUACUUUAAUACUGUAACUUUUAAGGUAUAACUGUCCAACCUUAAUUCUAAAUAUAGUCUAUGAGUGUGUUUGGGAGUGAUGCGAGACAACUCGGUUGCUAAUGUAUUUGGUUACAUCUUACAGCUAAACUUUGACAGCUCAACAGUUUAAAAGUUAAAGUUUUUACUCUACAGCUAUAAUUUUUACUCUACAACAACUGCAACUUAAAAAUUACAGUACCUUACUUCCAAACACACCUUAUAUCUAUCACAAACUUGUUCAGAUUACUAACUAAUUAUGCGUUAUUUAACAUAGUAGAAUUCAGUAAUUCACUUAUUAUUAAUUUUUUGUUUUAGAUUUAGGUCUCUUGACCAUCUUUCACCGAUACAAACUGUUUUAUUACAUACCAAAACUGUUAAAAUCAAGGACGGAAGCAGCAUUGGUGCUACUAGGAUUAGUUGUCCCCACUUAAUUAAAAAAAGUAUUUAUUAAUCUAUUUUAUGCUUAAGUCUCACCCUGUAAUCUUUUAUCUUGAUUUCAUUGUUCAGUCCAUUUAUCCUUUAAAAUUAUUUGAACAACUCAGUAACUUGAAAUUAAAAGCCUAAUAGCCUUAAUUCCAGUAUGUUGCCAAAAAAAAAAAAUUAAUUAGCAUUGAUAAUAAAAUUAUUGCGCAAUCAACUCAUAAAAAAUUUAUAUAUAUAUAUAUAUAUUAUGAGUGAAAGAUAUAAUCUUAUAGUUAUUAUUAUUUUUAAAAAAUUACCCCCAUAGAACAAAUUUCUAACUUCAUUCCUUUUUAAAGUAACUCACGUUAUUUUAAAUUUUCAACAAAAGUCAAAGACAAAUAGGUAUAAAUAAUUAUUUUAAAUUUUUUAUUAAAACUUAGCAGUUUGAGAAAAUUUUAUUAAAUAUGAAAUAAGAAAUGAAAUACCAAAUUCAGAGAAUUUAAUUACAUUAUUUUUUCCCAGUUGGAAAUAUGUUGGAAAGAAAUGCCUUCAAAAUUUGCCAUUAAAAUAAGAAAUAUGUUUAUUAAUAUAAAUUAAAAAAUAAUGUAAUUAAAUUGAUUAAUAAAUAUUUGAUUUGGUUGGUCAUUUAACCAUAAAGUGACAACAUACAAGCGACAGAGUUGACGACUUUUUGUGCAGUGUGGAGCCCAUUCUAGACACAAAAAGUUAUGGAACAAAUGGUGCCACCAAACAAAUUUUUACUUCUAUGAAAGGGAAUCAAAAAAUGAGAAUGAUUUGAUGUCAAAAGUCAGUAUGAUCCAAGCAAUGCUGCAAAACGGUGCCACCAAACAAAUUUUUCAUUGUUAUUACGUUAAAAGACAGAAAAAAAAAAAACAAUUUGGAAACAGUACCAAGCAGCCUACUAAAAUUCUCGAAUUAUUUAGGAUUGGGGUUUUCUUUGAUGUUUAAUGAAUUAUUAUUGGCAAAUUGUAGUGAGUCAACAAUUGAAAUUAUAUUGAUCAAAUUGUAUCAGAACAUGAAUUCAUAUAAGUAAAUAGUGAGUAAAAGUUACUAGAUAGUCUGCAGUAAUAAAAUAAACAAUAGAAAAGAAAAUGAAAAAUAGAAAACUUAGAAAAAAAAAAAAGAGGCCUGUUAAACAAUAGUUUCUUUAAAACAAAUUUAUCACCUAUUACAGUGAUGUUAGAUUCAUUGGUAUUUGUUUUUCAAGAUACAACAGGAACAAAUUAUUUGUCAAACACAUACAAAUAAUUUCGGUGAACAUCAACAAUGUAGAAUCUCAAUCAAAACAUAACGUUAGAGGGAAAAAAAUUUAUUUUCUUUUCAAGUGUUCUGUGUGUUUGUUGUAUAUAAAACAUAAGAGAAAUAUUGUUUUUUUUAUAUACAUGAGGGUAUGACUGUUGAAUAAUAAAAUUGAAUAUUUGAAUUCUAUAUUUAAUUUAAUUUGCUUCUGUAAUAGCCCGUUGAAUUCAAAAUAUUUAAUUUUGUAACAACUCAAAAUUUAUUCACAAAUCAAACUAUUUUUUAUUUUUAAUUUUGAAAACUGUUACAAAAUUUAAAAGGAAAUAAAAAAAUGUGGUCAUGCAGGCUUGAGUGAUUUUUUGGUCGACAUUCGCAUAUGCAAGACGCUUGGGUGUACACGAGUUCAACCAAAUUGAGUUUGGAUUGCACUUCCCCUCCCCCCACAAGUGGCGUAGAGAAAACCUCUAUCUUUAAAAUUCUUAUUCAUGUAUGGAUAGGUAUCUAUAUAUAAACACAAAUCCCUUAGCUUAUUUUUUCUAUGUGAGAUAAGUUUUAUUUUUUUUCAAAUUUCUAACUUCAAGAGUGCACUUUGAGAGUCAAUUUUCUCAUUCACCCAAGCAUGAUUUUGAAUAUAUAUAAAUAUAUCAUUCUAAAGCGUUCACAGAAUAGAAUCCAAACCUCUCAAUAUUUUCAUUUUUGUUAAGUGGGUCCCACUCAAAAUGUGCCCUCCAAAAUAGCAUACUAAUAUGCUAUUUUUCAACAACUAUAUGAUAACAAAUUAACAAUAAUGAUAAAGUCAAAAUUAGUUUUGUACAACCAAUGGGUCAUUUGUUUUUUUUUUUUUUUGACUUAAUGACUUAAUUGAAUUUGUUAAGUCAUUAAAUCUAUUUAUUUUUUUCAACUUAAUGAAAAUUUUCAGUCAUUAGGUCAUUAAGUUAUUAAACUAAUUUUUUUAAACUUUUUGUUUAAUCUAAAAAGUCUGAAUGAUAUAAUUAAAAGAUAUUCUCCAAAAUAUCCCUAUCUAAUUAAUUAAUUUUCAUUUUUACCUAAAUAAAAUUUAAUAAUGAGCAGUAUUACCCAUCUCUAUAUAACUUGUGAUAAUAUAUAGUGGUAAACUAUUAUUUUUUUAUCUUUUAAUUUUUUUUCAAAUUAGCAUUAUUUAUCUUCAUAAUUUGUUAUGAAUAUUAUUCAUAUAAAAAUAUCAUAAACUAUAAUAAAUUUGAUAAACAUAUAUAAUAUAGAAUACUAAAGAGUUGUAUUCAAUCGAAUAUGAUUUAUGUUAUAAUCAUAUAUUAUCUUAUUUAUAUUCUUUGAGAUAUUUAUUUAUUUGUUUAACAUUUAUAAUUUGUAAGGGUAUAAAUGUAAAAAUAUCCGUUGUCAGAUUUUUUAAGUAAAAAAAAACUUAAUAUUUAUUUUUAGUGAUUCAAAUAAAAAAUAAACAUAUCAUUUAAAUUCAUACAUUUAGCUCUAUUAAGAAUUAAAACUAAUUUAGAUCUAUUCAGAUUUAAAAAAAAAAAAACAAAUACCACUUAAAUAUAUAAAAAUUAAUGUAAUAUGAAGAAAUUAAUUGAAAAGGGAUAACAAUUAUCUUUUUCAAAUAUGUUGAGUCAUGAUGAUUUUAUACAAACAAUCUCCUCAUGAGAUUAAAAUGAGCAAUGUGUCAAGGGUAUAGCAAAAUUAUCAAAAUGCUCGGUUUGUUAAAUUUAAUUUUCAAUUUUUAAAUUUAGAAAGUCAAAAGUCAAACUAAAUCAUUCGGUCUUUAAAAAAAGCAAAAAUACCAAAAUGACCCCGCUCCCCUUCUUAACCACCCGAUCCUCCACAAUUUCUCCUUAUCCUCUCAUCAAUAGCAAUGGCACAAAGAAAAGAAAACAUAGUGAUGUUCCCAUUCAUGGCACAAGGCCAUAUAAUCCCUUUCCUAGCAUUAGCCCUUCACUUGGAAAAAACAAACAAAUACACCAUAACUCUUGUUAACACCCCUUUAAACCUUAAGCAACUCAAAUCAUCUCUCCCUCAAAAUUCCUCUAUUCACCUUCUUGAAAUUCCUUUCAAUAGCGUAGUGCAUGACCUCCCUCCUUGUACUGAAAACACAGACUCUAUUCCAUAUCACCUCUUUCCAAAAUUCCUUCAAGCAACAGCAUCGCUCGAACCCCACUUCAAGAAACUAAUCUCUGAACUUGUCAAUGAACAAAAU
RNAcentral lists this long non-coding RNA (8200 nucleotides) under Citrus maxima (pomelo). RNAcentral describes it as "long non-coding RNA (CMAX_LNC000488)". Lineage: Eukaryota; Viridiplantae; Streptophyta; Magnoliopsida; Sapindales; Rutaceae. The record is from RNAcentral.